RNAcentral lists this ribosomal RNA (253 nucleotides) under uncultured bacterium. RNAcentral describes it as "partial 16S ribosomal RNA". It matches the Rfam family "Bacterial small subunit ribosomal RNA", at positions 524 to 776 of the family's 1533-position model. The record is from RNAcentral.
UACAGAGGGUGCUAGCGUUGUUCGGAAUCAUUGGGCGUAAAGGGCGUGUAGGCGGUUUGUUAAGUCAUGUGUGAAAUCCCUCGGCUCAACCGGGGAACGACGCAUGAAACUGGCAAGCUAGAGUACCAAAGAGGGGGGUGGAAUUCCCGGUGUAGCGGUGAAAUUCGUAGAUAUUCGCAAGAACACCAGUGGUGAAGGCGGCUCACUGGCCCAUUACUGACGCUGAGGCACGAAAGCGUGGGGAGCAAACAGG